Molecule: transfer RNA, 47 nt
Filed under: Pseudoroegneria stipifolia
Lineage: Eukaryota; Viridiplantae; Streptophyta; Magnoliopsida; Poales; Poaceae
Description: Elymus stipifolius partial tRNA-Phe
Rfam family: tRNA
About the family: Transfer RNA (tRNA) molecules are approximately 80 nucleotides in length. Their secondary structure includes four short double-helical elements and three loops (D, anti-codon, and T loops).
Source: RNAcentral
GAGGACUGAAAAUCCUCGUGUCACCAGUUCAAAUCUGGUUCCUGGCA